This 458-nucleotide ribosomal RNA is filed under the name uncultured bacterium. RNAcentral's name for it is "partial 16S ribosomal RNA". It matches the Rfam family "Bacterial small subunit ribosomal RNA", at positions 338 to 795 of the family's 1533-position model. The record is from RNAcentral.
CCUACGGGAGGCAGCAGUGAGGAAUAUUGGUCAAUGGGCGAGAGCCUGAACCAGCCAAGUCGCGUGAGGGAGUACUGCCCUAUGGGUUGUAAACCUCUUUUGUCGGGGAGCAAAAGCCGGACGUGUCCGGCUGUGAGAGUACCCGAAUAAAAAGUAUCGGCUAACUCCGUGCCAGCAGCCGCGGUAAUACGGAGGAUGCGAGCGUUAUCCGGAUUUAUUGGGUUUAAAGGGUGCGCAGGCGGAUUUUUAAGUCAGCGGUAAAAUCGUGGGGCUCAACCCCAUCCAGCCGUUGAAACUGGGGAUCUAGAGUGUGCGAGAGGUAUGCGGAAUGCGUGGUGUAGCGGUGAAAUGCAUAGAUAUCACGCAGAACCCCGAUUGCGAAGGCAGCAUACCGGUGCACAACUGACGCUCAGGCACGAAAGCGUGGGUAUCGAACAGGAUUAGAUACCCCAGUAGUC